UACGUAGGGGGCUAGCGUUGUCCGGAAUCAUUGGGCGUAAAGCGCGCGUAGGCGGCCCGGUAAGUCCGCUCUGAAAGUCCAGGGCUCAACCCUGGAAAGCGGGUGGAUACUGCCGGGCUAGAAUCCGGAAGAGGCGAGUGGAAUUCCUGGUGUAGCGGUGGAAUGCGCAGAUAUCAAGAGGAACACCUGAGGUGAAGACGGGUUGCUGGGCUGACACUGACGCUGAGGCGCGAAAGCUAGGGUAGCAAACGGG
This 253-nucleotide ribosomal RNA is filed under the name uncultured bacterium. Its description in RNAcentral is "partial 16S ribosomal RNA". It matches the Rfam family "Bacterial small subunit ribosomal RNA", at positions 524 to 776 of the family's 1533-position model. The record is from RNAcentral.